ACCACAGAAGGUAAUAGUCCUGUAUGUUAAACGAGAAGACUUUAGAUAUGAUCCAGAGUACCACGGGACACGUGAAACCCUGUGGGAAGCAGGAGGGACCACCCUCCAAGGCUAAAUACUACCUAGUGACCGAUAGCGUAUAGUACCGUGAGGGAAAGGUGAAAAGAACCCCGGGAGGGGAGUGAAAUAGAACCUGAAACCCUGCACUUACAAGCUGUGGAAGCACAUUUCUUGUGUGACCGCGUACUUUUUGUAGAACGGGCCAACGAGUUACGUUAAGUAGCAAGGUUAAGCACUUAAGGUGCGGAGCCGUAGCGAAAGCGAGUUUUAACUGAGCGUUCAGUUACUUGACGUAGACCCGAAACCGGGCGACCUACCCAUGAGCAGGAUGAAGCGAAAGUAAAAUUUCGUGGAGGUCCGAACCCACGAGCGUUGAAAAGCUCGGGGAUGACUUGUGGGUAGCGGUGAAAUUCCAAUCGAACCCGGAGCUCGCUGGUUCUCCCCGAAAUAGCUUUAGGGCUAGCCUCAAGGUGAGAGAUACAGAGGUAGAACACUGAAUGUCCUAGGGGGGAUUGCACCUACCGAA
This 586-nucleotide ribosomal RNA is filed under the name Clostridioides difficile. RNAcentral's name for it is "bacterial LSU rRNA". It matches the Rfam family "Bacterial large subunit ribosomal RNA", at positions 354 to 943 of the family's 2925-position model. Lineage: Bacteria; Bacillati; Bacillota; Clostridia; Peptostreptococcales; Peptostreptococcaceae. The record is from RNAcentral.